GGCUUGUUGAAAAUAAUUAUAGGUCAGACCUGCCCAAUGAGUAGUUAAAUGGCCGCGGUAUUUUGACCGUGCAAAGGUAGCAUAAUCAUUAGUUUUUUAAUUGAAAGCUUGUAUGAAAGGUUAGAUGAAAAGAAAUCUGUCUCUGUAAAAUUUUUUUGGAAUUUUAUUUUUAAGUUAAAAAGCUUAAAUUUGUAUAGAAGACGAGAAGACCCUAUAGAGUUUGAUAUUUGAAAUAAAAUUAAUGUUUAAGGAAAAUCAAUAAUUAGGUUUUUUCCAAAUAUUUGGCUGGGGUGGCAUAAAAAUUAGAUUAACUUUUAUUAAAUUGAUUACAUUGAUUUAUGAAUAAGGGAUCCUGGAAUUAAGAUUGAAAGAUAAAAUUACCUUAGGGAUAACAGCGUAAUUUUUUUAAGAGUUCUUAUCAAAUAAAAAGAUUGCGACCUCGAUGUUGGAUUAAAAUGAAUUACUGGUGUAGAUGCUAGUAUAUUAGGUCUGUUCGACCUUUAAAAUUUUACAUGAUCUGAGUUUAGACCGGUGUGAG
RNAcentral lists this ribosomal RNA (538 nucleotides) under Trigonopterus sp. 878 AR-2022a. RNAcentral describes it as "partial large subunit ribosomal RNA". It matches the Rfam family "Bacterial large subunit ribosomal RNA", at positions 1816 to 2625 of the family's 2925-position model. Lineage: Eukaryota; Metazoa; Arthropoda; Insecta; Coleoptera; Curculionidae. The record is from RNAcentral.